AGUGAACGCUGGCGGUAGGCCUAACACAUGCAAGUCGAACGGCAGCACAGUAAGAGCUUGCUCUUACGGGUGGCGAGUGGCGGACGGGUGGGGAAUACAUCGGAAUCUACUUUUUCGUGGGGGAUAACGUAGGGAAACUUACGCUAAUACCGCAUACGACCUACGGGUGAAAGCAGGGGAUCUUCGGACCUUGCGCGAUUGAAUGAGCCGAUGUCGGAUUAGCUAGUUGGCGGGGUAAAGGCCCACCAAGGCGACGAUCCGUAGCUGGUCUGAGAGGAUGAUCAGCCACACUGGAACUGAGACACGGUCCAGACUCCUACGGGAGGCAGCAGUGGGGAAUAUUGGACAAUGGGCGCAAGCCUGAUCCAGCCAUACCGCGUGGGUGAAGAAGGCCUUCGGGUUAUAAAGCCCUUUUGUUGGGAAAGAAAAGCAGCAGGUUAAUACCCCGCUGUUCUGACGGUACCCAAAGAAUAAGCACCGGCUAACUUCGUG
This 492-nucleotide ribosomal RNA is filed under the name uncultured bacterium. RNAcentral's name for it is "partial 16S ribosomal RNA". It matches the Rfam family "Bacterial small subunit ribosomal RNA", at positions 29 to 507 of the family's 1533-position model. The record is from RNAcentral.